Molecule: ribosomal RNA, 253 nt
Filed under: uncultured bacterium
Lineage: Bacteria
Description: partial 16S ribosomal RNA
Rfam family: Bacterial small subunit ribosomal RNA
Source: RNAcentral
UACAGAGGUCUCAAGCGUUGUUCGGAUUCAUUGGGCGUAAAGGGUGCGUAGGCGGCGCGGUAAGUCGGGUGUGAAAUCUUGGAGCUUAACUCCGAAACUGCAUUCGAUACUGCCGUGCUUGAGGACUGGAGAGGAGACUGGAAUUUACGGUGUAGCGGUGAAAUGCGUAGAUAUCAGGAAGAACACCCGUGGCUAAGGCGGCUCUCUAGUACGGUACUGACACUGAGACACGAAGGCGUGGGGAGCGAACAGG